Long non-coding RNA from Triticum aestivum (bread wheat), 449 nucleotides. RefSeq lists it as uncharacterized. NCBI's taxonomy places the organism in Eukaryota, Viridiplantae, Streptophyta, Magnoliopsida, Poales, Poaceae. The transcript is spliced from 2 exons. The record is from RefSeq and is a predicted model, not a curated record.
AAUCCAACAACCGACCAUUAGAGAGACUCUUCUUGUGAACACCACAUUUGAGCUAAGAUGAGGAUUGCUCUAGUGACGCUCCUUACCCUUGCUGUCCUUCUAUUAGGAUCAGAUGUGGAAGCAGAACAACUUCAAUGUACGACUGCAGUUAUCAAACGGCCCGGUGGGUGUUCAAACAGUACUUGUGAGUAUGAUUGCGACCAAAAGCGCAAGCCCAUCUGUGGUCCACGGUGCUCUUGGAAGGCCAAUUGUGUUGGCGGGAGCUGCAAGUGCCUGGUGUGCAAUGUGAAGGAAACAACGAUGCUAUAACUACCUAACUUAAGAUUAGUUCAUGUCAAAGAAAAUAACAAGCAAUACUGUAAUAUACAGUAUGGCAGCAAUACUUUUGCUGGAAAGUGAUGUAGCACAAAGUUCAUGUUGCACCUUGAGGUAUAUGGAGUUACAAAAUA